Long non-coding RNA from Cebus imitator (Panamanian white-faced capuchin), 163 nucleotides. RefSeq lists it as uncharacterized. The record is from RefSeq and is a predicted model, not a curated record. The transcript has 3 exons. NCBI's taxonomy places the organism in Eukaryota, Metazoa, Chordata, Mammalia, Primates, Cebidae.
GGCCGGAGUGCAAUGGCACCUUCUUGGCUUAUUGCAAUGUCUCCUUCCUGGGUUCAAGCAAUUCUCAUGCCUCAGCCUCCCAGGUAGCUGGGAUUACAGGCACACAUCACCAUGGCUGGAAAAUUUUUGUAUUUUUAGUAGAGAUAGUGUUUUGCCAUGUUGG